UAACACAUGCAAGUCGAACGAGAACGGAUUAUAGCUUGCUAUAAUUGUCAGCUAAGUGGCGCACGGGUGAGUAAUAUAUAGGUAAUGUGCCCUAGAGAAGAGGAUAACAGUUGGAAACGACUGCUAAGACUCUAUAUGCCUUUAAGACAGAAGUCUGCAAGGGAAAUAUUUAUAGCUCUAGGAUCAGCCUGUACAGUAUCAGUUAGUUGGUGAGGUAAUGGCUCACCAAGACAAUGACGCUUAACUGGUUUGAGAGGAUGAUCAGUCACACUGGAACUGAGACACGGUCCAGACUCCUACGGGAGGCAGCAGUGGGGAAUAUUGCACAAUGGACGAAAGUCUGAUGCAGCAACGCCGCGUGGAGGAUGACACAUUUCGGUGCGUAAACUCCUUUUAUAUGGGAAGAUAAUGACGGUACCAUAUGAAUAAGCACCGGCUAACUCCGUGCCAGCAGCCGCGGUAAU
This 464-nucleotide ribosomal RNA is filed under the name uncultured bacterium. Its description in RNAcentral is "bacterial SSU rRNA". It matches the Rfam family "Bacterial small subunit ribosomal RNA", at positions 49 to 524 of the family's 1533-position model. The record is from RNAcentral.